RNAcentral lists this ribosomal RNA (340 nucleotides) under uncultured Pseudomonadota bacterium. RNAcentral's name for it is "bacterial SSU rRNA". It matches the Rfam family "Bacterial small subunit ribosomal RNA", at positions 29 to 351 of the family's 1533-position model. Lineage: Bacteria; Pseudomonadati; Pseudomonadota. The record is from RNAcentral.
AACAAACGCUGGCGGCGUGCCUAACACAUGCAAGUCGUACGAGAAAGUCCCGUUCGCGGGAUGAGUAAAGUGGCGCACGGGUGAGUAACGCGUGGAUAAUCUGCCCUUUAGCGGGGAAUAACCCAUCGAAAGGUGGGCUAAUACCACAUAAUGCUGUUUUCACUUCGGUGGGACAGCCAAAGAUGGCCUCUGCUUGCAAGCUGUCGCUGAAGGAUGAGUCCGCGUACCAUUAGCUGGUUGGUAGGGUAAUGGCCUACCAAGGCUACGAUGGUUAGCUGGUCUGAGAGGAUGAUCAGCCACACUGGAACUGAGACACGGUCCAGACACCUACGGGUGGCAG